RNAcentral lists this unclassified non-coding RNA (208 nucleotides) under uncultured Trechispora. Its description in RNAcentral is "sequence contains ITS2". Lineage: Eukaryota; Fungi; Basidiomycota; Agaricomycetes; Polyporales; Polyporaceae. The record is from RNAcentral.
AGUCAUCAACCCCCUCCGUUUUACUUGCGGAUGGGGGGUUGGAGCUGGGGGCCUGCCGCCGCGAGGCGGCUCCCCUCAAAUGCAUCGGUUGGGCCUGUGGGUCAAACUCGACUGGGCGUUGUAUCAUCCUCGCUCGACAGAGACGUUCCCCUCUCUCGUGCCCUUCCCCGACCUGCCUCUCAGAGCGGCGGUCAAGCACACUUUUGAA